AACGAACGCUGGCGGCAUGCCUAACACAUGCAAGUCGAACGAGACCUUCGGGUCUAGUGGCGCACGGGUGCGUAACGCGUCGGAACCUGCCCUUAGGGUCGGAAUAACUCCCCGAAAGGGGUGCUAAUACCGGAUAAUGUCUUCGGCCCAAAGAUUUAUCGCCCUUGGAUGGGCCCGCGUUGGAUUAGCUAGUUGGUAGGGUAAAAGCCUACCAAGGCGACGAUCCAUAGCUUGUAUGUGAGGAAGAUCAGCCACACUGGGACUGAGACACGGCCCAGAAUCCUACGGGAGGCAGGAGUGGGGGAUAUUGGAAAGUGGGCGAAAGCAUGAUCGAGCUAUGCCGGGUGAGUGAUGAAGGCCGUAAGGUUGUAAAGCUCUUUUACCCAGGAUGAUAAUGACAGUACCGGGAGAAAAAGCUCCGGCUAACUCCGUG
RNAcentral lists this ribosomal RNA (433 nucleotides) under uncultured bacterium. RNAcentral's name for it is "partial 16S ribosomal RNA". It matches the Rfam family "Bacterial small subunit ribosomal RNA", at positions 29 to 507 of the family's 1533-position model. The record is from RNAcentral.